GCCAGAGUGGUGGGGAAAAGUCUGCAAGAGAAUUUCUUUGAACUUGACCGUUUCUCUCCAAGGCUGAUGGACCUCCUUUAGGAAAAAAGAAAGGCCUGCCCAGCGAGCUUUUGGCUGAACUUUACGUCAGACAAAGACCACUGAGCCAACACACAUCAGGUGCCUAUGUCUUCGGGGACUGCCUGUCAUCUUGGCGGAUGAUUCUUCUGCCUUCUUCAAGACAUGCUCUGAUGUAACUGACAAGAACUCGUACAGUUAAACUCCAGUGGGAAUUCUCUGCCUGGGUUGAGAAAAUACCCAGCUCAACCCAUUCAGUGUAGGGAUCAUCUUGGAAGGGUCUGUGGUAAUGGAUGAACUGGCCAACCUGCCUCAGGCCUUUUGUGUCCUUUUCGUUUGACACACACAGCCGUUUCGGGUUGAUCUACGCCCUGCACCUGGACUACCCCAUGUGCAUGAAAAACACUUUCAACUUUACUCAGCAGGUAAUGCUCAAACUGGGUAGAAGUGAGCUGGAAGCGUAAAACGGGGUUCAAAAUGGCUUUACUACUGCUCCAGAUUUGUUUGCCCCAGUUUGUAAUGUUGGACUUUUGUGUUGUAUAUGGCUUGGGGUAUAUAUACAUGUGUCCUAUGGUAUUUGUACUGAUUUUUGCGCAAUAUUCCAUGACAGACAGGCUCUGAUUACAUUUAAUUCAAAUGAGUUGGAUAUUUUGUGUGUUACUUUUGUGUGAGUAAUAAAGAUCCUUUUCUGAAAUGCAA
Long non-coding RNA from Sander lucioperca (pikeperch), 756 nucleotides. RefSeq lists it as uncharacterized. The transcript has 3 exons. Lineage: Eukaryota; Metazoa; Chordata; Actinopteri; Perciformes; Percidae. The record is from RefSeq and is a predicted model, not a curated record.